CCUACGGGCGGCAGCAGUGAGGAAUAUUGGUCAAUGGGCGCGAGCCUGAACCAGCCAAGUCGCGUGAGGGAAGACGGUCCUAUGGAUUGUAAACCUCUUUUGUCGGGGAGCAAAAGCCGCCACGCGUGGCGUUCCGAGAGUACCCGAAGAAAAAGCAUCGGCUAACUCCGUGCCAGCAGCCGCGGUAAUACGGAGGAUGCGAGCGUUAUCCGGAUUUAUUGGGUUUAAAGGGUGCGCAGGCGGAAUAUCAAGUCAGCGGUAAAAUUGAGAGGCUCAACCUCUUCGAGCCGUUGAAACUGGUUGUCUUGAGUGAGUGAGAAGUAUGCGGAAGGCGUGGUGUAGCGGUGAAAUGCAUAGAUAUCACGCAGAACUCCGAUUGCGAAGGCAGCAUACCGGCGCUCAACUGACGCUCAUGCACGAAAGUGUGGGUAUCGAACAGGAUUAGAUACCCGGGUAGUC
Molecule: ribosomal RNA, 459 nt
Filed under: uncultured bacterium
Lineage: Bacteria
Description: partial 16S ribosomal RNA
Rfam family: Bacterial small subunit ribosomal RNA
Source: RNAcentral